This 356-nucleotide ribosomal RNA is filed under the name Cephenemyia stimulator. RNAcentral's name for it is "partial large subunit ribosomal RNA". The record is from RNAcentral. Lineage: Eukaryota; Metazoa; Arthropoda; Insecta; Diptera; Oestridae.
GAGGUUAAGCCCGAUGAACCUGAAUAUCCAUUAUGGGAAAUUCAUCAUUAUGAUUAUAGUAUUUAUUUAUUAAAUAAUAUAAUAAUGGUGCGCAUUUUUGCCAUAGAGGACAUUGUAAUCUAUUAAUAAAUGAAAAAUAUUUAUCAUAAGAUCAUUAAUGCAUAAGUUUACUCCAAUUAUUUUGCUUGCAAUUUAAAAUGGUGUAAAAUGUAUUUGAUUUGAUAAAGUAUUGAUAGAUUUAUUAAUAUAUAUAGUGCUCAAAAUAUAUGUAUGUAUGUGCAUAUUAUUUUAUAAUGUGUGUGUAUGUAUAUUAUAUUUUUAUAAUGGUCAUAUUAAUUUUAAUUAAUUUUUAUGUC